UGUAUGUUGACGUAUUCUGAAAGGAUACUUCUUCGGACAAUAUACAAGGUGCUGCAUGGUUGUCGUCAGCUCGUGCCGUGAGGUGUCGGGUUAAGUCCAUAACGAGCGCACCCUAUCAUUAGUUGCCAUCAGGUCAAGCUGGGGACUCUAAUGAAACUGCCUACGCAAGUAGUGAGGAAGGUGGGGAUGACGUCAAAUCAGCACGGCCCUUACGUCCAGGGCUACACACGUGCUACAAUGGCCGGUACAAAGGGCAGCUACCUGGUGACAGGAUGCUAAUCUCAAAAGCCGGUCUCAGUUCGGAUCGAAGUCUGCAACUCGACUUCAUGAAACUGGAAUCGCUAGUAAUCGUGGAUCAGCCAAGCCGCGGUGAAUACGUUCCCGGGCCUU
Molecule: ribosomal RNA, 390 nt
Filed under: uncultured Sphingobacteriales bacterium
Lineage: Bacteria; Pseudomonadati; Bacteroidota; Sphingobacteriia; Sphingobacteriales
Description: bacterial SSU rRNA
Rfam family: Bacterial small subunit ribosomal RNA
Source: RNAcentral